Long non-coding RNA from Manis pentadactyla (Chinese pangolin), 2356 nucleotides. RefSeq lists it as uncharacterized. Lineage: Eukaryota; Metazoa; Chordata; Mammalia; Pholidota; Manidae. The record is from RefSeq and is a predicted model, not a curated record. The transcript is spliced from 4 exons.
CGAGGAUUGCUGGCGCACGCGAGAGCGGAAGGGGGCAGGCGUCCGCCUGCUCGCAGGCCCGCUCAGUCCCCUCUCCCUUGGGGUGUCUCUGAGGCUCGGCGCCGCGCCUCCUGCCGGUGGCCAGAAGAAACCUCAUCCUCUGGCAGUCGCGUUUAUAACCGUGUUAGCGAUGGAAGGAAAAAAGAAGGGAUCUCUGUCCUAUUGGGAAGAAGAUUGCGCUUCCACAAAGUCGAAUUUCUCCUGUUAUUGGCUUUUAAUACGCUCCUUGCGCUCUUCAGCAGUUGGAAGAAGAAAAAAUCCCCCACAGUGACCCCGACGUGACUUGAACACGCAACCUUCUGAUCUGGAGUCAGACGCGCUACCAUUGCGCCACGAGGUCACACUUAGCACGGGAUUUCGCAUUGUUAUAGACUGUUUUACCGGCACGGCUCCCCACUCAAAAGACCCAGAGCGGGCUGCGCUUCCUCUCUAGAACCCAAGCACGCAAUUAAGAGCACGAGCGUGCGCAUCAGGCUCCUCGGACUUGGGGAAACGAACGCCUGUGAAGCAUCCGAGUCUGACUGCGGCGCCGCGGCGGAGCACCCGCCUGGGGGAGACACGGGCCGCGCGGGCUGCCUGAGGCGGGGACGCCGGCGGCGCAGAGGCGGAAGGCCCCGGAGCGGGCGGGAAUCCCGGGGGACGUCCCUCGUCCGCCCUCCGCCCUCUGCCCUCUGCCCGCGAAGUGGCGACCGUCCCGCGGUGAGGCUCAGGACAAAACAGUUUCUGGAAGAAAAUUAGAAUCAUUGAAAACCCCGCCAUCCAGAGCCCUCCAGCAUUGGCAAGGUUAUGGUGAAGAAGAGCUGGUGCCUCUCCCACAGAGGUCGCGAGCCCAGAAUCUACUGAAAAGAAUUCCUCACACCCAAGGAAAGACCAGAGGAGUCCAGCUCCCGCGAGGGGUGGGCUGCCCAAAGGAAAGGACGGCGUCAGUGAGUGAGGAGACAAGACACAGAGUCAAACUGGAAGCAUCUCCUAGCAAGCAUGCUAGCAGUGUUUUAUUUAUAUGAUAUCCAUUCCAGGCAUUUGUUCUUUGAUCAGUGAGGUCACAGUCUUUUUUCCUUUCUGUUUCUAACUUAUUCCCACUCACUACCUUUAAUUACAGGCAGAUAUCAUCGUUUCCUGCUACGUGCAGCUUUUCAUGUUUUAUUUCUUCCUUAUCAUGACUAAUUCUUAUGCAAAGCAGAUGCCAUAAAACAGUGCAUGAAAGGUGCUAGACAGAGCGUGAUUUAUUUUUUGACCACAAAGCGGCCAUUUUCACAUUUACAAUUAUCAUCCUUGUGCCUGGACUUUGUCAAACAGCCUGAGUAGCAUGGCUCCUGCCACUGUUUUAUGCAUUUGUAUCUCAAAUCAUAUAGAAAAAAGAGAUAAAAAUUAAAAACAUGACAAUACUUAAUUUUACAUGUAUCUUUUCUGAUCUUUUUUAUUUAGUCAUAUGGUUUUGAGUCACUGUCAAGAGGCCUUUAAUUUCAGCCUGAAGAGCUUCCAUAGCAUUUCUUGUGGAAUAGCAGGUCUAGCAGCAAUAACCUCCCUCAGCUUGUUUACCUGGGGAGUCUUCAUUUCUUCUUCAUUUUUGGAGGAUAGUUUUGUUAGAUACAGAAUUCUUGGUGGAUGGUUUAUUUUUCUUUGAUACUUUGAAUAUGCCAUCCCACUGUUUUCUGCAUUCCAUGGUUUCUGAUGAGAAUCAGCUUUUAAUCUUACCUUAAAUCUUAAAUUAACAUCUUCAUCUAGUAAGUCCAAGGUGUGGCCUUCCUCAGCAGACUUUUGUUAAUUCCCCUUUUUUCCUUGAUUGAACAAUAUUUCCUGUUUCUUCCAUGCCUCAUUUUUUGUUGUUGUUGGAAACUGGACAUUUUGAAUACUGUAAUUCUAGAAAUCCUCCUCAUUUGGAUUUGGUCGUGCUACCUGUGGUGGGUUCUAGUCAUUUAGUGCCUUUUCUAAACUCAUUUUGUAAAGCUUGUGAAAAGGCAAGCUCCCAGAUUCUAUUUCAGCCAAUUGGGACCCGGAUCCUACCUCAGCCAAUCAGGACCUGGAUCCUAUUUCACCCAAUCAGAGCUUGGUCUCUCUCCUCUCCAGUCAGCAAAGAGCUCACCCACCACCCUUAGACCCUGCCAAUUGACCAGAGCCACGACCUAUCAUCCCACCAACUACCCCUAGAUCCAGCCAAUUAGCCAGAGUCACGACCAUCACCCCACCAACUGCCCUAGAACCCCAUAAAACCCUUGUGGUAUUGAAACUGGCUCUCUUUCUCUGGCAUCUUGCCACUGCGUUGGUGUAGAUGAGAGAUUGAGCUCGAGCUAGCUCGAAUAAAGGCUGUUUGCUUUUG